Molecule: ribosomal RNA, 404 nt
Filed under: uncultured bacterium
Lineage: Bacteria
Description: bacterial SSU rRNA
Rfam family: Bacterial small subunit ribosomal RNA
Source: RNAcentral
GACGAACGCUGGCGGCGUGCUUAACACAUGCAAGUCGAGCGGUAAGGCCCUUUCGGGGGUACACGAGCGGCGAACGGGUGAGUAACACGUGGGUGACCUGCCCUCAGCUCUGGGAUAAGCCUGGGAAACCGGGUCUAAUACCGGAUAUGACUCCAUGACGCAUGUUGUGGGGUGGAAAGCCUUGUGCGGCUGAGGAUGGGCCCGCGGCCUAUCAGCUUGUUGGUGGGGUGAUGGCCUACCAAGGCGACGACGGGUAGCCGGCCUGAGAGGGCGACCGGCCACACUGGGACUGAGACACGGCCCAGACUCCUACGGGAGGCAGCAGUGGGGAAUAUUGGACAAUGGGGGCAACCCUGAUCCAGCGACGCCGCGUGUGUGAAGAAGGCCUGCGGGUUGUAAAGCAC